RNAcentral lists this ribosomal RNA (292 nucleotides) under uncultured bacterium. RNAcentral describes it as "partial 16S ribosomal RNA". It matches the Rfam family "Bacterial small subunit ribosomal RNA", at positions 505 to 796 of the family's 1533-position model. The record is from RNAcentral.
GUGCCAGCAGCCGCGGUAAUACGGAGGAUCCGAGCGUUAUCCGGAAUCAUUGGGUUUAAAGGGUCCGUAGGCGGCCCUGUAAGUCAGCGGUGAAAUCUCCCGGCUCAACCGGGAAACUGCCGUUGAUACUGCAGGGCUUGAAUUGCCGGGAAGUAACUAGAAUAUGUAGUGUAGCGGUGAAAUGCUUAGAUAUUACAUGGAAUACCGAUUGCGAAGGCAGGUUACUACCGGCGUAUUGACGCUGAUGGACGAAAGCGUGGGGAGCGAACAGGAUUAGAUACCCUAGUAGUCC